GUGCUUACAUGGUGGGAAAGACACCAUUCUUACAAAGGUGAUCUUCCCAGGGUCAGGCUCCUCCACCACGUCUCAGGCCUAGCGACCCCUGUGUUUACCUCACAUGCAGGAAACAAGACUGCACUGAUUUAUGAUAGUGGGGCAUUUUGUUCACGCUCUCCUCUA
Molecule: small nuclear RNA, 165 nt
Filed under: Octodon degus (degu)
Lineage: Eukaryota; Metazoa; Chordata; Mammalia; Rodentia; Octodontidae
Description: U1 spliceosomal RNA (ENSODEG00000022434.1)
Source: RNAcentral